Long non-coding RNA from Pseudopipra pipra, 275 nucleotides. RefSeq lists it as uncharacterized. NCBI's taxonomy places the organism in Eukaryota, Metazoa, Chordata, Aves, Passeriformes, Pipridae. The record is from RefSeq and is a predicted model, not a curated record. The transcript is spliced from 2 exons.
AGAGGCAAAUCUUACAAACUUACUGCUAAGGAUGGACCUCAUAAACAUCCUGAACUUCCUAAGCAGUUUCAUGGAUACCAGCUUCUGUGGAAUAGGAAAAACUCUUGACUUCUUUUUGAAGAUGUGGAAAUGAAGCACAGGAUAGUUAUGAGAAUUGCCCAAGGUUAUACCACAAAAUUCAACAGAAGAGAAGCCUGAAUCUAAGUUUGUGAAGUCUCUAACUGUUCCACUGGUUUUUUCCUUUUUUUAAAUAAUAAAAAUGAAUUUUUAACAAA